This 72-nucleotide transfer RNA is filed under the name Immersiella caudata. Its description in RNAcentral is "Cercophora caudata tRNA". It matches the Rfam family "tRNA". Rfam says of the family: Transfer RNA (tRNA) molecules are approximately 80 nucleotides in length. Their secondary structure includes four short double-helical elements and three loops (D, anti-codon, and T loops). Lineage: Eukaryota; Fungi; Ascomycota; Sordariomycetes; Sordariales; Lasiosphaeriaceae. The record is from Rfam by way of RNAcentral.
UUCUUGGUAGUGUAACGGCUAACAUAUCGCGCUUUCACCGCGAAGCUCCGGGUUCGAUUCCCGGCCAGGAAG